CCUACGGGUGGCAGCAGUGGGGGAUAUUGGACAAUGGGGGGAACCCUGAUCCAGCGACGCCGCGUGAGUGAAGAAGUAUCUCGGUAUGUAAAGCUCUAUCAGCAGGGAAGAAGAAAUGACGGUACCUGAGUAAGAAGCUCCGGCUAAAUACGUGCCAGCAGCCGCGGUAAUACGUAUGGAGCAAGCGUUAUCCGGAUUUACUGGGUGUAAAGGGAGAGUAGGUGGCAGAGCAAGUCCGAAGUGAAAACCCAAAGCUCAACUAUGGGAAUGCUUUAGAAACUGCUCAGCUAGAGUGCAGGAGAGGCAAGUGGAAUUCUUAGUGUAGCGGUGAAAUGCGUAGAUAUUAGGAGGAACACCAGUGGCGAAGGCGGCUUGCUGGACUGUAACUGACACUGAGGCUCGAAAGCGUGGGGAGCAAACAGGAUUAGAUACCCUGGUAGUC
Molecule: ribosomal RNA, 442 nt
Filed under: uncultured bacterium
Lineage: Bacteria
Description: partial 16S ribosomal RNA
Rfam family: Bacterial small subunit ribosomal RNA
Source: RNAcentral